CUUUGAAAUGUAAUUUUGCUAUGUAUACUGUAAAAUGAAUCUGUCGCCGUAAAUAUCCUCCAUCAGGGAUGCACUGUGAUCGUCUUUUUCCCUUUUCUGUGUAGAUGAUGGAUGCACCGAUGCUGGUGUCAUCACUUGACAUAUUUCUUGUGUGUACUACUGUUAUUCUUUUCUGUGUUAUACUGAUGUUCAGUAGUUGUCGUUUGUUGGAGUUGUUCAUAAGUGUUUCUCGUUUUUUAUAUAGAUUAGACCGUUGUUUUUUUCCGUUUUUUUUUUUACACUAGAAUUGUUUUGGGCCCUUUAUAGCUUACUGUUCGGUGUAAGCCAUGGCUCCGUGUUAAAGCAUGUAUUUCGACCUAUCAUGGUUUACUUUUAUAAAUUGUGACUCGGAUGGAGAGUUGUCUCAUUGGCACUCAUACCACAUCUUCUUAUAUCUAUUCAUAUCAUAUUUCAUUUGUCAUAUUGAUUAUCAUAUCACAUUGAUGCUUGACGAUUAACAAAUCCAAAUCAAACACACAUUUUUACCUGCAUGCUUACUAAUUACCACCAUAAAAUCCCUUCCGGCUUUACUGUAAUAUCUUUGCAUACCUGUAUUUUUCAUUCAGGUGUUGGAAUCUGUGGAUGGUGUGCGCUAUAAGCUAUAUUUUUACGUUUGUUUUUUCUGUUUCUUUUUUUUUAGGUUCGGUUCUAAUAUUUUCGUUAUUAAUAACUGCUUAAUUUCUUUGAUUGCUAUUGUUCAAUGGUAUAUUUAUACUAUUUGUAAACAUCAAUAUGUAUAUAUUUAUAGAAUAAAUAAUUAGAGGGCCCUCCCGAACUUAUAUGCGUACUUCAAUCUAAUUUUUACACAUAUUUAGAAAAGAUAUUUUAAUACAUCUUUCGAUUUUUACCAUCCCCCAAACUUAUAUACCACGUGAAGUAUACUAAGGAAAACAUAGAUUUUUGUUUAAAGCACCGUAUUCAGUAUCAGCAAGGAGGUUAUAAUAUAACCUCCUUGGUAUCAGCAUGAUAGAUC
This 1012-nucleotide long non-coding RNA is filed under the name Mytilus galloprovincialis (Mediterranean mussel). The record is from RNAcentral. Lineage: Eukaryota; Metazoa; Mollusca; Bivalvia; Mytilida; Mytilidae.